CCCUUAGAGUUUGAUCCUGGCUCAGGAUGAACGCUAGCUACAGGCUUAACACAUGCAAGUCGAGGGGCAGCAUGAUUGAAGCUUGCUUCAAUCGAUGGCGACCGGCGCACGGGUGAGUAACACGUAUCCAACCUGCCGAUAACUCGGGGAUAGCCUUUCGAAAGAAAGAUUAAUACCCGAUAGCAUAGUUUUUCCGCAUGGUUUCACUAUUAAAGAAUUUCGGUUAUCGAUGGGGAUGCGUUCCAUUAGGUAGUUGGCGGGGUAACGGCCCACCAAGUCAACGAUGGAUAGGGGUUCUGAGAGGAAGGUCCCCCACAUUGGAACUGAGACACGGUCCAAACUCCUACGGGAGGCAGCAGUGAGGAAUAUUGGUCAAUGGACGAGAGUCUGAACCAGCCAAGUAGCGUGAAGGAUGACUGCCCUAUGGGUUGUAAACUUCUUUUAUACGGGAAUAAAGUGGAGUAUGCAUACUCCUUUGUAUGUACCGUAUGAAUAAGGAUCGGCAACUCUGG
This 512-nucleotide ribosomal RNA is filed under the name uncultured bacterium. RNAcentral describes it as "bacterial SSU rRNA". It matches the Rfam family "Bacterial small subunit ribosomal RNA", at positions 1 to 505 of the family's 1533-position model. The record is from RNAcentral.